Molecule: small nuclear RNA, 20 nt
Filed under: Arabidopsis thaliana (thale cress)
Lineage: Eukaryota; Viridiplantae; Streptophyta; Magnoliopsida; Brassicales; Brassicaceae
Description: snRNA_01010
Source: RNAcentral
GGGCGAGAGUAGUACUAGGA